ACCCGCUGACUUAAGCAUAUCAAUAAGCGGAGGAAAAGAAACCAACAGGGAUUGCCUUAGUAGCGGCGAGUGAAGCGGCAAGAGCUCAAAUUUGAAAUCUGGUACCUUUGGUGCCCGAGUUGUAAUUUGAAGAUCACAAUCUUGAAAUUGGUCCUUGUCUAUGUUCCUUGGAACAGGACGUCACAGAGGGUGAGAAUCCCGUGCGAUGAGGAUACCUUUUUCAUUUAAGAUGUGUUCGACGAGUCGAGUUGUUUGGGAAUGCAGCUCAAAGUGGGUGGUAAAUUCCAUCUAAAGCUAAAUAUUGGCGAGAGACCGAUAGCGAACAAGUACAGUGAUGGAAAGAUGAAAAGAACUUUGAAAAGAGAGUGAAAAAGUACGUGAAAUUGUUGAAAGGGAAGGGUAUUUAAUCAGACUUGGUAUUUAGCUAUCUCUUCUCCUUGUGGGAGGGGCUCUAGCUUUUUACUGGGCCAGCAUCAGUUUUGGUGGUGAGAUAAUCGCAGUUGAAUGUGGCUCCUCGGAGUGUUAUAGCUUCUGUUGAUGUUACCUACUGGGACUGAGGUCUGCGGCUUUGCCUAGGAUGCUGGCGUAAUGAUUAAACACCGCCCGUCUUG
Molecule: ribosomal RNA, 611 nt
Filed under: Ambrosiozyma platypodis
Lineage: Eukaryota; Fungi; Ascomycota; Pichiomycetes; Pichiales; Pichiaceae
Description: LSU rRNA
Rfam family: Eukaryotic large subunit ribosomal RNA
Source: RNAcentral